RNAcentral lists this ribosomal RNA (253 nucleotides) under uncultured bacterium. RNAcentral describes it as "partial 16S ribosomal RNA". It matches the Rfam family "Bacterial small subunit ribosomal RNA", at positions 524 to 776 of the family's 1533-position model. The record is from RNAcentral.
UACGGAAGGGGCAAGCGUUGUUCGGAAUCAUUGGGCGUAAAGGGCGCGUAGGCGGUCUUGUUUGUCUGCUGUGAAAGUCCACGGCUCACCCGUGGAGAGUCGGUGGAAACGGCAAGACUUGAGGCUGGGAGGGGUUGGUGGAAUUCCCUGUGUAGCGGUGAAAUGCGUAGAUACGGGGGAGAACACUCGUGGCGAAGGCGGCCAGCUGGCCCAGUCCUGACGCUGAGGCGCGACAGCGUGGGGAGCAAACAGG